AUACAGAGGGUGCAAGCGUUAAUCGGAAUUACUGGGCGUAAAGGGCGCGUAGGCGGUGAGAUGUGUGUGAUGUGAAAGCCCCGGGCUUAACCUGGGAAGUGCAUCGCAAACUAUCUGACUGGAGUAGAUGAGAGGGUGGCGGAAUUUCCGGUGUAGCGGUGAAAUGCGUAGAUAUUGGAAGGAACACCAGUGGCGAAGGCGACUAUCUGGAUAGAUACUGACACUGAGACACGAAAGCGUGGGGAGC
This 247-nucleotide ribosomal RNA is filed under the name uncultured bacterium. RNAcentral describes it as "partial 16S ribosomal RNA". It matches the Rfam family "Bacterial small subunit ribosomal RNA", at positions 523 to 769 of the family's 1533-position model. The record is from RNAcentral.